RNAcentral lists this transfer RNA (69 nucleotides) under Obrium sp. NS-2015. RNAcentral's name for it is "tRNA-Val". The record is from RNAcentral. Lineage: Eukaryota; Metazoa; Arthropoda; Insecta; Coleoptera; Cerambycidae.
CAAAUAAGAGCUUGAGUAAAGCAUUUUAUUUACAUUAAAAAGUUAAUUGUGAGAUUCAAUUUUAUUUGA